GUAUGUCAGUUGCUAUCAUGGAUGUGUGUGUGUAUGGUUUUGUCACUUGAUUCCUUGUGAGCGUGUUGUCUGAGUGUGUUGCCUCCUUUCAGGGGAGUGUCUAGCUAAUCGUGAUGUUAUUUUGUAUAUUUUGAUUAUCUGUCGGGUUCGUAUAUUUGUGCUUUUGUUCGUCCCAUAUGUUCCACGCUUCGAGCCAAUAGGGCUUUCCUUGUUUUGAUUUCCUUGCCAUGAGUUCGUACGUUUUGUUGCAUUCUAUUACUUCUUUGCAUUGGUUGAUUGUGGG
Molecule: non-coding RNA, 283 nt
Organism: Pelobates cultripes (western spadefoot toad)
Lineage: Eukaryota; Metazoa; Chordata; Amphibia; Anura; Pelobatidae
Source: the annotation of a GenBank genome assembly